AUGCAAGUAGCGAAUUUAACUUGGUGCAAGCUGGAAGGGGAAGGAAAGUUGCACUUGGAACAAAACUGGAUUCGCGAAAGAUUACCAAAAGGGAUUCUCCAAAUGGCUUUGGUGGAGAUACUUCUUCAGCACAAUACUCCUUAUCACCGAGGGCGGAAUGGAUGGAAUGGUGAAAUUUGGAAUAUGAUGGUUGGAAUAUUCCAUGCUAGACAUAGUUAUGUCAAAUUCACAAAGUCCCAAGUUCAAGAGAAGGAAAAGGAAUUGAAGAGAGACUAUAAAAUGCUAAAGGAGGCACAUAAACAAAGUGGAGUUAAUUGGGAUGAAAUUAGGUGCAUGAUACAAACUGAUGAACAUCUUUGGGAUGAGUUGACGAUUUCAUUUGGUUCGAGGAUCAAUAAGUUCAAGUCCAAACCUUUUCCUCUCUUCAACUUACGAGGAGAUCUCUAUGAUGUUCUCAUUUUUCAGGGCCGUUAUAACUUGACAACCACUACUGAGCCUGAAGGAAAUAUGCCUUGGAGGAAAUAA
RNAcentral lists this ribosomal RNA (525 nucleotides) under Triticum aestivum (bread wheat). RNAcentral's name for it is "partial small subunit ribosomal RNA". The record is from RNAcentral. Lineage: Eukaryota; Viridiplantae; Streptophyta; Magnoliopsida; Poales; Poaceae.